GCUGCCCGGGCCGAGCCGCUUCAGCCCCCGGGUGUCUCGGCCUGCGUCUCUCGGGCGUGCGCGGUUUUCUUUUUUUUUUUCUUCUUUCUUCUUCCCAUCUAAUAUUCAGUACGAACACACUAACAGCAUCCCCAUCCCGGGGACCCCAGCAUCCCUGGGGGGAGGAGCAACAACAGUGAUGCUCUGGGUUGGCAGACACACACACGAGAGGGGACCCCCAUUUCUUCCCAAGGCUGGGGUGCAGGGGAGAAAGCUUACAGUAUUUCUGGGGUGGUGCCUUCAGCACCUUUGGGACAGCAAUAAAUAAAUGCACCUGAUUUGGCUCUCUCCAUGAUGAUCAGAUGUGAUAGAUUGGCUGGACCAAAGGUGUGGAAAGGAGUAAAGCAAGGAAAAGGUUUGGUGGUAGCAAGGUAUGGGAAAAUGGGUCAUGAAGGGAAGGGAAACAGAAAGGAGACCGUCAGCAUCAGCUGGAGGACUGCGCCUGGAGGGGACCCACAAGUACCAGCUCUGCUGCCAGCCCCGAGAUGGGUGCUGAUGUUUUAUUUUCAAUUAUAUGUGGAAAAUCAGAUACACAAAGAACAUUAAAAUCCCAUUACGGUGAGCACACAACCAGGAGCUCAA
Molecule: non-coding RNA, 621 nt
Organism: Phalacrocorax carbo (great cormorant)
Lineage: Eukaryota; Metazoa; Chordata; Aves; Suliformes; Phalacrocoracidae
Source: RefSeq, a predicted model, not a curated record